Long non-coding RNA from Anas platyrhynchos (mallard), 291 nucleotides. RefSeq lists it as uncharacterized. NCBI's taxonomy places the organism in Eukaryota, Metazoa, Chordata, Aves, Anseriformes, Anatidae. The record is from RefSeq and is a predicted model, not a curated record.
UGAUCAUCUUAUUGUAUAUAUUUCAUUCAGUUGAUAAUUUUUAUUACCAUUUUCAACGUAAGUUCUAUUUCAUGGCCAAGAAGUCUCCAUAUGAUAUCUUCUUAAACCUAUCUUGAACAUUCAGUGACUACAUUAAAUUGGAAAACAACAGUACCAUUUAAGAAUGAUCAAAGCUGUCAUGUAAGAAAUUGCAGGGAAUUUUAACAUAUUCAAGACUAUAUCACCAUGCUGGAUUGGACUGCUUUCCUCAGAGAAGUGUUUUAAAUACAAUUUCAUUUUGUGAGCACUCUA